AUGAUCAUGUAGCAGCCAGGUCAUUUAACUUGGAAAAUGCUUUGGGAUCUCACACAAAGGCCAAGCACAAGCACAGUGCUGGACAAUACAUGGAUUUGAAGAGAGAGCUUCUGAGUUCUGAUUGGAAACUCUAUGCUCAGUCUAUUAGGCAUUUCUAAGGCUGUUUUGGUUCCUUCCGUGUCUUUUGAUCAACUCCUGGGGCGUUAUCACUCAAAAAACAACCAAAUAGGCUUGAAUAGUUAAUGCCUUAACUUUUAUCAGCAAGGUAAGCUUUACUUAGCAAGUUAAUGUAGCAUUUCUAAUAUAUGAUUGAAUAGUUACUUAUGCUUUUGAGUUUUGACUUUGAGAAUUUUAAAAUUGUUAUGCUUAUGCUUUUGGGUUUUUGGAGCAAGACAGGUAACCACUGAUCAACAUAAUAAAUAAGUCUAUUGUGGUACCCUCCUAACCAAAUACUCUCAUGCAUUGUGAGUAAUUUUUUCUUAUUUUGCAUAAUUGUUGUGGCCUGUGCAAUAUUCAUGUAAUAGAUUUCUUGUUAUCUUAGUUCUUAUUUUUAUAUUUGGGGACUCUCUUGAUCCAAAAGGAGGUGAGUUUGCUUUAGGGUGUUGACAAGGACAUGAAAAAGCUUUCAAUCCCUCUUUCUACAAGUGAUGAGACUGAUAAUUGCACCAUCAUCUGGUAUGAUGUUCUUACACAAUAUCAAGUCAAUAUUCACAAGGACCCAUAAUUAAAAAUAUAUAUAUACAUGAAUAAAAAAAGAAAGAGUGGCACAAUUUCUCUCUCUCUCUCUCUCUCUCUCCCUGUCAUUUUGCAUGCACAGAUGGUGUGGCUGGUAAUCACAUGAUAAUACCUGCUUCUUGUGAUCUUGUAGAUUGAUGGUGUGGCAUUGUUUCGAAUGUUGUAUAUUAUUAUGAAAUUUUCAACUAGUUUGUUAGUAAUAGUAUUAGGAACUUUUGGUGGUUUGGUCCUGUGCUUUUGUGGACUCAAGUUGACAUCAAACUUUUUUGAGAUGUGAUUGAGACCCCCUCAAUCACCAACCCCCACCACCCCCCACACACGUGGGGGUUGGUGAUUGGAGGAGAAAAAAAAAAAAAAAAAUCUGGCCAAUCAAUCCAAGAGGGGGUUGUGGGGGUGGGGGGGAAAAGGGAGUCCAGAUCAUUUUUGAACUUUUUUUAGCUGGAAAUGUUAUGAAAAGGAUUUCUAUGCACAAAGCCAUUCUUGUGGACUAUUUGAUGAAUGAUCAUUUUAUCAAGUAUUAUCAAUUUUUUUAUUUCCAUGCUUGAAUUGACUUUAAACACAUACUAUUUACUAAUCAUUAGUUGUCUGUUUUAUAUUUGAUGAAUCUCUUAGUGCUGACUUGUGCUUGAGAGCCAAUGGACCUCUACUGAUCACCCACACUCAGUGAACCUGUCAAGUUAUUUUCAAUGUGCCAUUUAUAUUGGCUGUACAGUGCUAGCUGAGAAAGUUUGAUAUUGUGUUGGUUUUUGUCUUACUAGUGUUCAAUAAUCAAAUUCAUGCCUCUUUUUGCUCGAACUUGUAGUUUCAAUAUUAGAGGUUGAUGAUUUGUUUCCGAUGUUCUCUUGACAGAGGGAGCAAUGGUGGCAACAAGACUGACAGGAAUUCUUUUAGGACAACCUAUAUUGUUCAAGACUCUGUAACAAGACUGUACAGAAGUGGCCUUUUUCUUGUUUCCAUAUACUAGUUUUUAAUGUGAAUUUGGGUGGUAAUUGCAAGGAUUCUUGGAAUCAAAACUACUGUAACCUCAAAUGUUUUUUUUGUAAUUGCAAUAGGUGGAAAAUCUUUGCAAGAUUCUUUUAGGAACUCUUUGUUAUUGUAACGGGAAUUUUAUUAAAGGAAGAGAUGGAAAAUAAUGCAUGAAUGU
Non-coding RNA from Camellia sinensis, 1879 nucleotides. The record is from RefSeq and is a predicted model, not a curated record. NCBI's taxonomy places the organism in Eukaryota, Viridiplantae, Streptophyta, Magnoliopsida, Ericales, Theaceae.